RNAcentral lists this ribosomal RNA (443 nucleotides) under uncultured bacterium. Its description in RNAcentral is "partial 16S ribosomal RNA". It matches the Rfam family "Bacterial small subunit ribosomal RNA", at positions 338 to 795 of the family's 1533-position model. The record is from RNAcentral.
CCUACGGGAGACAGCAGUGGGGAAUAUUGGGCAAUGGGCGCAAGCCUGACCCAGCAACGCCGCGUGAAGGAAGAAGGCUUUCGGGUUGUAAACUUCUUUUCUCAGGGACGAAGAAAGUGACGGUACCUGAGGAAUAAGCCACGGCUAACUACGUGCCAGCAGCCGCGGUAAUACGUAGGUGGCAAGCGUUAUCCGGAUUUAUUGGGUGUAAAGGGCGUGUAGGCGGGAGCGCAAGUCAGAUGUGAAAACUCAGGGCUCAACCCUGAGCCUGCAUUUGAAACUGUGUUUCUUGAGUGCUGGAGAGGCAAUCGGAAUUCCGUGUGUAGCGGUGAAAUGCGUAGAUAUACGGAGGAACACCAGUGGCGAAGGCGGUCUGCUGGACAGCAACUGACGCUGAGGCGCGAAAGCGUGGGGAGCAAACAGGAUUAGAUACCCCAGUAGUC